This 653-nucleotide long non-coding RNA is filed under the name Nicotiana benthamiana. Its description in RNAcentral is "long non-coding RNA (NBEN_LNC042388)". Lineage: Eukaryota; Viridiplantae; Streptophyta; Magnoliopsida; Solanales; Solanaceae. The record is from RNAcentral.
ACGGGUAGAACCGCCCCGCCAUGGUUCCCGGGAACCGCCAGAACCGGAACCGCCAGGGCCGCGGUUACGCUCCGAUUCCGGUUCGAAACCGCGAAAUUUACACCCUUAGAAAAGCUAAAGACAGCAGUCACAAACAAAAUUUUGGAUGAUCCUAUCGUCUUUUUGCUCGUCGUGCAAGGCAAACAGAUCCCAAUUCCAAAGAAGGAAAUCGGCGGGCAACUCUAAAAAAUGGUGACCACAUCCAUAAUCACAUCUUCCCGCCGGUAACGCUGUGAAGUAAAUUCACACAUCAGCCCGUUUACCCUCCCCUGUUCUAACCCAAUUGAAAUUUCUGAGAGUCGGGGUCGAUUUUGCCGUCGCUAGAUUCCGGUCAUGGUCGUUGAUUCACUGUUGUUUGGUCCAGUUGUUGAAUGGUAGACCUUUUAAAAUUCAGAUCUCGCCAAUAAAGGUCUGUUUCUUUUACAUAUGUACCAUGUCUUCCUAAUUUGAUUCCAAAAUUUGGUUAAACAAGUUUUGUCAUUAAGUUUUUAUAUUUAUGUGAAUGUUCAUUUCAUGUCACAAAUAUGGCUUUACUUAAUAAGGUGAUUUUGUGCUUGCUGGUAUUAAAAUACAUUUAGCCAUUUCUUAGCAUGUAUGUUUGUUGGUGUUCUUAA